This 373-nucleotide RNase P RNA is filed under the name Jannaschia sp. W003. Its description in RNAcentral is "RNase P RNA component class A". It matches the Rfam family "Bacterial RNase P class A". From Rfam's summary of the family: Ribonuclease P (RNase P) is a ubiquitous endoribonuclease, found in archaea, bacteria and eukarya as well as chloroplasts and mitochondria. Its best characterised activity is the generation of mature 5'-ends of tRNAs by cleaving the 5'-leader elements of precursor-tRNAs. The record is from RNAcentral. Lineage: Bacteria; Pseudomonadati; Pseudomonadota; Alphaproteobacteria; Rhodobacterales; Roseobacteraceae.
GCGGGGGGCCGGGCGGCCGCGGGGCGCGAGCCCCGAGGAAAGUCCGGACUCCACGAAGCGACGGUGCCGGGUAACGCCCGGGCGGCGACCGGUUCUCCGGGAAGCCGACGGAAAGCGCCACAGAGAACAGACCGCCGGGGGUCCGCCCCCGGCAAGGGUGAAACGGUGGGGCAAGAGCCCACCGGGAGGGCGGCAACGUCCUCCGCACGGCAAGCCCCACCGGGAGCAAUGCCAAAUAGGGACCGCGAUGGGGGCUUCGCCCGGCGGUCCGGGUUGGCAGCUCGAGGGCCGCGGCGACGCGCGCUCCAGAGGAAUGGUCGCCACCGGGGCCUCGGCUCCGGCACAGAAUCCGGCUUACAGGCCCCCCGCACGC